RNAcentral lists this ribosomal RNA (2149 nucleotides) under Salmonella enterica subsp. enterica. RNAcentral's name for it is "partial 23S ribosomal RNA". It matches the Rfam family "Bacterial large subunit ribosomal RNA", at positions 673 to 2803 of the family's 2925-position model. RNAcentral also lists the same sequence under 1 other name. Lineage: Bacteria; Pseudomonadati; Pseudomonadota; Gammaproteobacteria; Enterobacterales; Enterobacteriaceae. The record is from RNAcentral.
GAAACCGAGUCUUAAUUGGGCGUUAAGUUGCAGGGUAUAGACCCGAAACCCGGUGAUCUAGCCAUGGGCAGGUUGAAGGUUGGGUAACACUAACUGGAGGACCGAACCGACUAAUGUUGAAAAAUUAGCGGAUGACCUGUGGCUGGGGGUGAAAGGCCAAUCAAACCGGGAGAUAGCUGGUUCUCCCCGAAAGCUAUUUAGGUAGCGCCUCGUGAAUUCAUCUCCGGGGGUAGAGCACUGUUUCGGCUAGGGGGCCAUCCCGGCUUACCAACCCGAUGCAAACUGCGAAUACCGGAGAAUGUUAUCACGGGAGACACACGGCGGGUGCUAACGUCCGUCGUGAAGAGGGAAACAACCCAGACCGCCAGCUAAGGUCCCAAAGUCAUGGUUAAGUGGGAAACGAUGUGGGAAGGCCCAGACAGCCAGGAUGUUGGCUUAGAAGCAGCCAUCAUUUAAAGAAAGCGUAAUAGCUCACUGGUCGAGUCGGCCUGCGCGGAAGAUGUAACGGGGCUAAACCAUGCACCGAAGCUGCGGCAGCGACACUGUGUGUUGUUGGGUAGGGGAGCGUUCUGUAAGCCUGUGAAGGUGUGUCGUGAGGCAUGCUGGAGGUAUCAGAAGUGCGAAUGCUGACAUAAGUAACGAUAAAGCGGGUGAAAAGCCCGCUCGCCGGAAGACCAAGGGUUCCUGUCCAACGUUAAUCGGGGCAGGGUGAGUCGACCCCUAAGGCGAGGCCGAAAGGCGUAGUCGAUGGGAAACGGGUUAAUAUUCCCGUACUUGGUGUUACUGCGAAGGGGGGACGGAGAAGGCUAUGUUGGCCGGGCGACGGUUGUCCCGGUUUAAGCGUGUAGGUGUGUGUUCCAGGUAAAUCCGGUUCACUUUAACACUGAGGCGUGACGACGAGGCACUACGGUGCUGAAGCAACAAAUGCCCUGCUUCCAGGAAAAGCCUCUAAGCAUCAGGUAACAUCAAAUCGUACCCCAAACCGACACAGGUGGUCAGGUAGAGAAUACCAAGGCGCUUGAGAGAACUCGGGUGAAGGAACUAGGCAAAAUGGUGCCGUAACUUCGGGAGAAGGCACGCUGACACGUAGGUGAAGUGAUUUACUCAUGGAGCUGAAGUCAGUCGAAGAUACCAGCUGGCUGCAACUGUUUAUUAAAAACACAGCACUGUGCAAACACGAAAGUGGACGUAUACGGUGUGACGCCUGCCCGGUGCCGGAAGGUUAAUUGAUGGGGUCAGCGCAAGCGAAGCUCCUGAUCGAAGCCCCGGUAAACGGCGGCCGUAACUAUAACGGUCCUAAGGUAGCGAAAUUCCUUGUCGGGUAAGUUCCGACCUGCACGAAUGGCGUAAUGAUGGCCAGGCUGUCUCCACCCGAGACUCAGUGAAAUUGAACUCGCUGUGAAGAUGCAGUGUACCCGCGGCAAGACGGAAAGACCCCGUGAACCUUUACUAUAGCUUGACACUGAACAUUGAGCCUUGAUGUGUAGGAUAGGUGGGAGGCUUUGAAGUGUGGACGCCAGUCUGCAUGGAGCCGACCUUGAAAUACCACCCUUUAAUGUUUGAUGUUCUAACGUGGACCCGUUACCCGGGUUGCGGACAGUGUCUGGUGGGUAGUUUGACUGGGGCGGUCUCCUCCUAAAGAGUAACGGAGGAGCACGAAGGUUGGCUAAUCCUGGUCGGACAUCAGGAGGUUAGUGCAAUGGCAUAAGCCAGCUUGACUGCGAGCGUGACGGCGCGAGCAGGUGCGAAAGCAGGUCAUAGUGAUCCGGUGGUUCUGAAUGGAAGGGCCAUCGCUCAACGGAUAAAAGGUACUCCGGGGAUAACAGGCUGAUACCGCCCAAGAGUUCAUAUCGACGGCGGUGUUUGGCACCUCGAUGUCGGCUCAUCACAUCCUGGGGCUGAAGUAGGUCCCAAGGGUAUGGCUGUUCGCCAUUUAAAGUGGUACGCGAGCUGGGUUUAGAACGUCGUGAGACAGUUCGGUCCCUAUCUGCCGUGGGCGCUGGAGAACUGAGGGGGGCUGCUCCUAGUACGAGAGGACCGGAGUGGACGCAUCACUGGUGUUCGGGUUGUCAUGCCAAUGGCACUGCCCGGUAGCUAAAUGCGGAAGAGAUAAGUGCUGAAAGCAUCUAAGCACGAAACUUGCCCCGAG